AGAGUUUGAUCCUGGCUCAGAACAAACGCUGGCGGCGUGCCUAACACAUGCAAGUCGUACGUGAAAGUCCCGCAAGGGACAAGUAAAGUGGCGACCGGGUGAGUAAUACAUAGGUAACCUACUUAUAAGUUGGGAAUAACAGUUCGAAAGGACUGCUAAUACCGAAUAUUAUAUUAUAACACAGGUUGUAAUAUCAAAGAUGGCCUCUUUACAAUGCUAUCGCUUAUAAAUGGGCUUAUGAACCAUUAGCUAGUUGGUGGAGUAAUAGCCUACCAAGGCAAUGAUGGUUAGCUGGUCUGAGAGGAUGAUCAGCCACACUGGAACUGAAACACGGUCCAUAACUUCCUACGGGAGGCAGCAUUGGGGAAUACUUGCGCAUGGGGGAAACCCUUGACGCAGCAGCGCCUCGUGAGCGACUAAGCCUAUCAGGUCUGUAAAGCUCCUUUCAAAUGGGAAA
RNAcentral lists this ribosomal RNA (457 nucleotides) under uncultured bacterium. RNAcentral describes it as "bacterial SSU rRNA". It matches the Rfam family "Bacterial small subunit ribosomal RNA", at positions 8 to 448 of the family's 1533-position model. The record is from RNAcentral.